Molecule: non-coding RNA, 318 nt
Filed under: Pongo abelii (Sumatran orangutan)
Lineage: Eukaryota; Metazoa; Chordata; Mammalia; Primates; Hominidae
Source: RNAcentral
AUCAUAAAUAAUUUGAGGAGACAGAUAAUAAGGAAACUAGUUAUGAAACAACUAAAAUAAUCCAACAGAAAAGAAUGAAUAUGGUGACAGUGAGACCGGAAAAUUAUGACAGCAAAACCACUCACUUAUGAAUUGAUAGCAGCAUCAGAAUAUGCUUUCUUACUCAUAUGGUGUAAAAACUUUCACCCCGCCCCCCAACCAUCUCUCCCAAAAUGAUAAUUAUUUCUAACUUAUUCUGACAAUUUGAAAAAGAGGAUCUACUAGGCCGGGCAUGGUGGCUCACGCCUGCAAUCACAGCACUUUGGGAGGCUGAGGCAG